CGCGUAGGCGGUUUGGUAAGUGUGAUGUGAAAGCCCCGGGCUCAACCUGGGAAUUGCCUCACAUACUGCCAGGCUAGAGUACGGUAGAGGGGGGUAGAAUUCCACGUGUAGCGGUGAAAUGCGUAGAGAUGUGGAGGAAUACCAGUGGCGAAGGCGGCCCCCUGGAUCGAUACUGACGCUGAGGUGCGAAAGCGUGGGGAGCAAACA
RNAcentral lists this ribosomal RNA (207 nucleotides) under uncultured Gammaproteobacteria bacterium. RNAcentral describes it as "uncultured gamma proteobacterium partial 16S ribosomal RNA". It matches the Rfam family "Bacterial small subunit ribosomal RNA", at positions 568 to 774 of the family's 1533-position model. Lineage: Bacteria; Pseudomonadati; Pseudomonadota; Gammaproteobacteria. The record is from RNAcentral.